RNAcentral lists this ribosomal RNA (257 nucleotides) under uncultured bacterium. RNAcentral describes it as "partial 16S ribosomal RNA". It matches the Rfam family "Bacterial small subunit ribosomal RNA", at positions 526 to 779 of the family's 1533-position model. The record is from RNAcentral.
CGGAGGGAGCUAGCGUUGUUCGGAAUUACUGGGCGUAAAGCGCACGUAGGCGGCUAUUCAAGUCAGAGGUGAAAGCCCGGAGCUCAACUUCGGAACUGCCUUUGAAACUAUAUAGCUAGAAUUCUGGAGAGGCGGGUGGAAUUCCGAGUGUAGAGGUGAAAUUCGUAGAUAUUCGGAAGAACACCAGUGGCGAAGGCGGCCCGCUGGACAGACAUUGACGCUGAGGUGCGAAAGACGUGGGGGAGGCAAACAGGAUU